Long non-coding RNA from Helianthus annuus (common sunflower), 1214 nucleotides. RefSeq lists it as uncharacterized. The transcript has 2 exons. The record is from RefSeq and is a predicted model, not a curated record. NCBI's taxonomy places the organism in Eukaryota, Viridiplantae, Streptophyta, Magnoliopsida, Asterales, Asteraceae.
AUGCGCUUUCGUCCUGUUCUUAAACCAUACAUCCGUGUUCACUUUUAUCUCCUACAGCACUUUGGAUGGGCGCCAAGUGCCAACCAUUGUUUUAAAUUUAUUGUUUUGAGCCUUCCAAAUAAACCAAAGAGUCACCACAAAAAUCGUUUGUAUUAACUUCUUUAACUGUUCAGCUACAUUUACUAGUUUAGACACUCUGGGAGAUCAAGAAUUUCCAACACCGAGUUGCCAAUUGAAGCUGUGAUCCCAUACCAAUUUUGAAUAUGAUCAUCUGUCGCUUAAUCAUCACAUCGCACACAACCUGACGAGCUGAAGUUGAUUAUUCUUGCAAUUCACUUUUUAAGUAUGGGAUUGAGUUUGAAAAAAACCGAUUAGUCAAUAAGUCAUUUUGACUUAUUGACUUACUCGCUUUUUCCAAAUGACUUAUUGGCUCCAAUAAGUUAAUAAGUCAUUUCCAAACUCAAUCCCAAACACCCCCUAUAUGGUAUUUUUCUCAUUGCAUAAUAAUUUAACAAGAACUUUAACGAAAGUUAGUAUUUGAACCCUAAAUUAUACAAUGUUUUAAUGCAUUUGAACAUAUGAGUAAUAACUUUAAGAGGUUUUGUUUUAAACUACAAUUAUACUUAGUAAAACAUGAAUACUUUCUAUUAAUUUAAUAUUAAUCGACAUACUAUAUUUUCAAUGAAUGACAAUUGAAACCAAUGGGUUAUAUACUUCUACUAUGAUGAAAAAAACCAUGAAGACACUUUGACUUAUGUUUCGCUUUUCAUUGCGUUUACCAGUGAGUGUUCCGACUUUAGGACUUUGUUUGAGCCAACUCUAGUGGGUCAAAGUGGGAAAGAGAAGCACAAGGUUCAUACCAUUUCGGUCGGUCUUUGCAAAGCGGUCCUUAUACAUCGAAGUCAUGUAUUUGCAGCACGUUGUCUCUACUAUAUGAUGUUUGAGGACAAAGAGGGAAGGCCUUCCUAGGACAUACAACAUUUUUCUGGAAAAAAAUUAUAGUGGCUCAAACCACAUGUUUAUUGGAUCAUUGGAGGAACACAUGAUUAUGAUGAAAGAUAAGAAAAAAUUAAGAUAGUGUCUCAAACCAAAGUUUUUUGUUUAUGUUAAUUAUUUAUUUGUUAUUAUUUUUGUAUUAGAAGCUAUAACAUUAUAAGUUUACAAAAUGUAUGCAAGUGAAAGUCAAUCUGAAGCACUUAUGAGUUAUCACCCUA